RNAcentral lists this ribosomal RNA (251 nucleotides) under uncultured Gardnerella sp. RNAcentral describes it as "partial 16S ribosomal RNA". It matches the Rfam family "Bacterial small subunit ribosomal RNA", at positions 103 to 356 of the family's 1533-position model. Lineage: Bacteria; Bacillati; Actinomycetota; Actinomycetes; Bifidobacteriales; Bifidobacteriaceae. The record is from RNAcentral.
CGGGUGAGUAAUGCGUGACCAACCUGCCCCAUGCUCCAGAAUAGCUCUUGGAAACGGGUGGUAAUGCUGGAUGCUCCAACUUGACGCAUGUCUUGUUGGGAAAGUGUUUAGUGGCAUGGGAUGGGGUCGCGUCCUAUCAGCUUGUAGGCGGGGUAAUGGCCCACCUAGGCUUCGACGGGUAGCCGGCCUGAGAGGGCGGACGGCCACAUUGGGACUGAGAUACGGCCCAGACUCCUAGGGAGGCAGCAGCG